Molecule: ribosomal RNA, 293 nt
Filed under: uncultured bacterium
Lineage: Bacteria
Description: partial 16S ribosomal RNA
Rfam family: Archaeal small subunit ribosomal RNA
Source: RNAcentral
GUGCCAGCCGCCGCGGUAAUACCGGCAGCUCAAGUGAUGGCCGAUCUUAUUGGGCCUAAAGCGUCCGUAGCUGGCUGCGCAAGUCCGUCGGGAAAUCCACUCGCUCAACGAGUGGGCGUCCGACGGAAACUGCACAGCUUGGGACCGGAAGACCGAAGGGGUACGUCCGGGGUAGGAGUGAAAUCCUGUAAUCCUGGACGGACCACCGGUGGCGAAAGCGCCUUCGGAAGACGGAUCCGACAGUGAGGGACGAAAGCUAGGGUCUCGAACCGGAUUAGAAACCCGAGUAGUCC